AUUUUAUUUUCCUUUAGUUGAUUUCGUUUUUUCAGAGCCCAUAUUUUGAUUUCGGUAUCCCAAAAUGCAACUAUAAGGGGUAUUAUUGCAAACAUAACUC
Molecule: long non-coding RNA, 100 nt
Organism: Haliotis rubra (blacklip abalone)
Lineage: Eukaryota; Metazoa; Mollusca; Gastropoda; Lepetellida; Haliotidae
Exons: 3
Source: RefSeq, a predicted model, not a curated record